AACUAAUUACGGACUCUCUCAUUUGCUACAACACACAACAUGCAUACACCCAUUAGAUCGAAAAAUGUACACCAACUGAAGCAUGCACACAAUGACCAACAGAAAUAUACUACUGGCUAGUACUAAUUUAAGCAGGGAGGCACCAUUAUAUUAGCGCUAGCGCCACUACUACAUCAACAGCAACUAAUUGACCAACUAACUACACUAGGUACAUCAUCUGCCACCAACUUAAAACUACUUUCCAAAAGUAAGUCCAGACUGAACCAUACAUGCAAUCAUGCCAUCGGAAACACAACUAAACUGAACCAACUACUAGUAGGAGUACUAGCAUGCACCCUGCUGCCCUGCUUCUUACGGAGGGAUCUUCACUUGUUAACAUGUACACU
Molecule: long non-coding RNA, 386 nt
Filed under: Triticum aestivum (bread wheat)
Lineage: Eukaryota; Viridiplantae; Streptophyta; Magnoliopsida; Poales; Poaceae
Description: long non-coding RNA (TAES_LNC002062)
Source: RNAcentral